RNAcentral lists this long non-coding RNA (757 nucleotides) under Gossypium barbadense (sea-island cotton). RNAcentral describes it as "long non-coding RNA (GBAR_LNC013926)". Lineage: Eukaryota; Viridiplantae; Streptophyta; Magnoliopsida; Malvales; Malvaceae. The record is from RNAcentral.
ACGUUUUCUAUUCAUAAUUUGCAAUUGAUCUUGCCGCCCAAUUAUCCUAUCUCUGAUUCAAUUCGGUUUGCUGAGUUUUUGAAUUGACUUGUUGUUUUGUGUUCAAUUGUCAGAUUCGGCUGAUUGGAUUAUUUCUUGAAGUUCAAUUUCGUGUUCUUGGCUUCCAAGAAUCCCCUAUUAAUAAGUGUUUCGAUUCUUGGCUGAUUCUUUAUUGUUUUGGGGUUUUUGUUUCAGAUUUGGAAUUCUAAGAUUUAACUUUUCUGUUUCGUUUCAGAUCUCAGCGUCUAAAGCUUUCGUAGGAUUUUCCCAUGACUUGACAACUCGAUCUUGGUCCACGCGCAACCCUCUAUCACAACAUAACUUACUUUAUAAAGUAAUGUACGUUAGUCAUUAUCCAACUGAAUUGAUGUUUAGUUAACUCGUGACGUAGGGGCGAAGUCAGAAUUUUUUCUAAAGGGGGAAGAGAUUAAGUUAUAUACUUUUAUAAGAGUUCAAAUGCAAUUUAACCCUUAUAUUGGCUUAUAUCUUCAUGGUUUUCAAAAGGACUAAAUUGAAAUUCUAGCAUUUUUAGGAGGUCAAACUAUAAUUUAUCACAUAUUGACUUAAAAUUUUAUAAAUUUUUGGGGGCCUAAAGAAGUAAUUUCUCAUUUUAGUUCGCUCAUGUCAUGACACUAACUUAGUUAAUGACUUAAUAUAUAGUAUAGAUGACAUUGUUACUAUUUUAAUUUAUUUUUUACGGUUUAACUUAGUUUCACCC